Molecule: long non-coding RNA, 1151 nt
Organism: Antechinus flavipes (yellow-footed antechinus)
Lineage: Eukaryota; Metazoa; Chordata; Mammalia; Dasyuromorphia; Dasyuridae
Exons: 3
Source: RefSeq, a predicted model, not a curated record
ACACAUAUAACUAUAUAACACAUUUGACUUGUAGCCUUCACAGAAGACUUUCUUAUCUCUGCUUUCUUUCUAUUUUCUUCUUGGAAUUGUUAACAAAUUUAAACAUUUAAAAAUAUUUUUAUUUUAUUUUUGUCAGUUACAUAUAAAAAUAAAAUUUUAACAUUUCACUUUUUAUAAUUUUUGAGUUCCAAAUUCCCUCCCCUCUCCAUUUAUUCUCUUUUCCCCCAAAAGGCAAGCACAUUGGUAUAAAUCAUAUUUGUAAAGGUCAUACAAAACACAUUUUCAUAUUGUCUAUGGUGCAAAAGAAAAGACAGAGAAAAAAAAGUAAAAAAGUGCAUGCUUUGACCCCUGUGUUUGCACUCCUGCAAUUCUUUCUCUGAAGGUAGAUAGCAUUCUUUAUCAAAAGUUCUUUGGAAUUAUCUUUUAUCAUUAUAUUGCUGAGAAAAGCUAAGUCAUUCACAGUUGAUCAUUGUAUGAUAUAGCUGUUAUACAUAAUAUUCUUUUAGUUCUGCUCACUUCACUUUGCCUCAGUUCACGUAAGUCUUCCUGGAUUUUUCUGAAAGCAUUCUGCUUGUCCUUUCUUAUAAUAUAAUAGUAUUCCAAAGAAUCAUAUGCCAUAACUUCUUCAACUUUGCUACAUUUUUAAAAACAGAUAUCUCAAUCAACCCUCUUCUCUCUUUUUUUUCCCUACUAUCUAUAUUUUGUUCCCUUGACUCCAAUCCUCCACCUCAUUGCAAAAAAAAAAAAAAAAAAAAAAAAAAAAGAAAAGAAAAAGAGCUUUGGAACAAAUGUGCAUCACAAACAAAUUGCCACAAUGACUGUCUGAAAAGGGUGCAAUCAAUAUGAUGGAAUGAAACCAAUGAAACCAUGAAGUUGUUCGAGCUCUCCCAGUUUCCCUCAAAAACCACAGGAAAUCAAGACUCUGAACAAUAUCUGUUUUGUAUCUAACAAAAUGGAACCACUCUCCAGUUCAAGAUACCAUAAACAAUUAAGUAGAAAGGAAGGCCUAUGAAGUCUGCAGUGAGAACAAUAAAAGAUGAACAACCCUGAUCAAAUGGAAUAACAAGGCCCAGAUUGAAGGAGGGGAAGACUCCUCUUUGCCCUCAUGGGAGUGCCAUGGGGGGACUGAGAAAUCAUCUGAAUGAUAUAAG